Long non-coding RNA from Coregonus clupeaformis (lake whitefish), 223 nucleotides. RefSeq lists it as uncharacterized. NCBI's taxonomy places the organism in Eukaryota, Metazoa, Chordata, Actinopteri, Salmoniformes, Salmonidae. The record is from RefSeq and is a predicted model, not a curated record. The transcript is spliced from 2 exons.
GUGAUCCCUCAUCCACACAACAGUCAUCCAAGGCUACUGAGUGUCCAGUCCAUGUUCCAUCAACGCAGCACGUUCCCUAUGCUUUUGUUUUGUAGGCAUGGACUCUGAACAGGUGGCCUGAAAACCAGGACACUUUACUGAGCCUGAGGAGAAGAGAAGCCCUGACAACUAACCAAUGCAUUUGGCCAGGUACACGUUCCUCAAAACAAAGUUGGUCUUUGGU